Molecule: non-coding RNA, 465 nt
Organism: Myodes glareolus (Bank vole)
Lineage: Eukaryota; Metazoa; Chordata; Mammalia; Rodentia; Cricetidae
Source: RefSeq, a predicted model, not a curated record
GCCAGCAGGCCGGCAGAAGAACACAACCUAACUCCAGCUCACUGCAACGGCUCCAGAAUGAGCCUCUGACAAAACUGACUUUGGAGAAAGUUGGAAGAACCAGCAACAGAAUGGUGACUAAGUCACAUGGUCACUUCUGGACUCCUGAGAGGCAUCCUGUAUACAGGAGUUGUUUCCUGGACCGGGGUAAGGACAGCCAGGACUUCCUUCAGGUCUGCUUAGCCCGUCACUGAGGCUGAAGAAAGCAGUGAGAGAGAGCUGAGAGUGGAGAGGAAACUGAACCCCGACCUGACUCCAAGCCAUCACACAGCUCUGCCCCCACGGAACCAGGCAGGGUGGGGAGGCUGGUGCUGUGCUAAAAUAGAACAGCACAGGCAAUAAUAUAGGGCACAGGAGCGGGGUGAGAGGAGCAGCAAGGGGGCGAAUCUCAGAAAACCAAGGGACAUAGAGAACAGGAAAUAAAAG